This 213-nucleotide unclassified non-coding RNA is filed under the name Ascomycota sp. RNAcentral describes it as "partial contains small subunit ribosomal RNA, internal transcribed spacer 1, and 5.8S ribosomal RNA". The stretch from base 1 to 47 matches the Rfam family "Eukaryotic small subunit ribosomal RNA", at positions 1785 to 1831 of the family's 1831-position model. The record is from RNAcentral. Lineage: Eukaryota; Fungi; Ascomycota.
AAAGUCGUAACAAGGUCUCCGUUGGUGAACCAGCGGAGGGAUCAUUACAGAGUUGCAAAACUCCCAACCCUCUGUGAACGUACCUAUUAGUUGCUUCGGCGGAAGGCCCUUCAGGGGGCGGCCCGCCGAAGGCCUACAAACACCUGUAUUUUUGGCAUCUCUGAGUUAUCUAUAAAUAAGUUAAAACUUUCAACAACGGAUCUCUUGGUUCUG